RNAcentral lists this long non-coding RNA (1220 nucleotides) under Triticum aestivum (bread wheat). Its description in RNAcentral is "long non-coding RNA (TAES_LNC002453)". Lineage: Eukaryota; Viridiplantae; Streptophyta; Magnoliopsida; Poales; Poaceae. The record is from RNAcentral.
UCAAAAGUUGGCCUCACAUUCUGGGUUGUUCAACAACAAGAAUGAACUCAAUUCUGGUGCUGUUUGAUGAUCUGUGCUUUCCAUAUAAACUCCAUUUGUAGUGGAAAAGCCUCUUUGCUUAGCUUUAGCUCUUUCUUUUUCUUCUUUUGGGAAACAACAAUCAAUUGUCAGUAUCGUACAUGUUCCAUUAGGUUGACAUCGAUAACAGGUUUCAUCAUCAUUAUGUUUUGAGUUUUACAAUUUUGCAUUGUUGCCCAAUUAUUUCUAGGAUUAUGACUCGGGAGGCAUGAAUGUGUGGCCAAACCUCUAGUCCUAAAUUGUUGAUAUAGGUUCAUAGCAUACUUUCCUGUCAGUAUGUAGUUGUUCCACGCAGCAAGUCUUUUAGUUACAUUGUGAUCCAUAUCUGGGGAUGAUCUUCCAGUAACUCGCUAUCUUGGUACUAAAUCUGUUACCCCUGUGUCGCCCCUUGGACAAAGUUUGUCAUUGAGAUCAGUUAUCUUGAACGUUCCUUCUUUUCGUCUCAGUGACCAUGGCCAUAGUGUGACAUGAAGUUUUAUCUUUGCUCCUCAGGACACUAGUGCUUUGUUGGUAUCCUCUUGCACUGUUCAUUGUUUUAUUAGCCUGCCAAUUCUACAUAAAUAUCCUUUGUCCUGACAAAAGGUUGUUCCUGAAAAAAGCUUUACAAUUCCUGCCAUAGUAUCCCUUUUGUUCAGCUAUUUGCUGUAAUGGUUUUUUCUAAAGGCACUCUAAUGUUUAUCUCUUUUUGUUUCAUCAGGUUCUCAUGCACCAAAAGAAGCAACAAUAGACAAGCUGGAUGAAUAAAUUUCUUUCAGGUUCUCAAUGCUAGAUGACCAUGAUACCAAAAGAUGGAUACAUUUUUCUGCAUUAUCUUCGUUGCAAAAUGAUGUUGUGGCUGUGAUGAAUUGUUUGCUGCGAAAGAUUAUGUUGAUAUGAUAAAUUAUGAAUGCUGGGAUUUGGGGUUCAAAGUCAUGCUGCUAUGAUAAAUUAUGUUGUUGUUGUGAUGAGAUAUUGAUUUCAAGUCAUGCAAAAUUAUGUUGCUGUUGGGAAAGCUGUUGCUAAAUUAUGAGAUAUUGAUUUCAAGUCAUUUUUAUCAGGUGACCUUUACAAUUCUGUAGCAAGGAUAUAAGGGGAGUUAGUUACGAUGUAAAGAUUGGAUUUUUAAAUGUUCUACACCAUGUUAUGUCAACAUGACAAACCCU